Non-coding RNA from Myodes glareolus (Bank vole), 1435 nucleotides. Lineage: Eukaryota; Metazoa; Chordata; Mammalia; Rodentia; Cricetidae. The record is from RefSeq and is a predicted model, not a curated record.
GUUGAACACACAUGCAGAAUAUCACAGACAGACUUGGACAACACCCAGCGAUGUCGCAGACAGAAUGAGGAAGGGCAGCUGUGUUCUGGAGCAGCAGGUUGCUCAGCCGAGCACUGGGCUAAUGGCUUCUCAGAAGAAGAGUUCUCAGAGGUAGUUCGAGCUCAAGAUGCUGUUUGAAUCCGGUCGCAAAUUAUGUGACAACAGAAAAUGGGGUUCCUGAGGACAUCACGCAUCUCCAUUUGGAGAAGUAUUCAAAUGGAUAAAAGAACCAUCAGAAAUGGGUACAAGUGUCACUGAUGUCCAGCCAGGCUGGGACUGAAGUUUCGAUGAGAUGAACAAUGAUCACUUUGUCUCACAAGGAAACAAUCAAUUGAAUGUUCACUCGAUUGUUGGAGCAUCUUCAGCAUGCAGGAUUGGAAACAAAUGGAAAAUUAACUUUCCUUGAAAGUAUGCUGUGUCUGAGCGAAGGCCUACAGAUAACUUCACUUCUAUUAUCGCUCCAUGAAACAAACGGUAAUUUUGGUUUUAUUGUGAACUGAGUCUGUGCAAUGAAUUAGAACAGAAAGAACUCAGCACUGAGGUGAAAUUAUGUUAAACUUUUGUGUUAACCUAUCUCAAAAGUUAGUAUCUCAAUAUAUUAGUAAAGGAACAGCCUGGGGUAGGAACAAGGCAGAAGUUCAGUUGGAUGAGCCUGUUCACAGUGGGAGGUGUGUGUUAAAGAACCCCAGUGAGUGUCCUGCACAUUUUAGGGUCUUCCUAGCCAACUAUUUCUUCUUGUCACUAUAUGAAGUUCCACAAAUCCUAUAGAAUUAAAAUGAAUAUAUUGUUUGGUGACUGGUCAAAGUUUUUAUCCUGUGACAGUUAAUUACCUAUUGCCUCUCCGUAUUUUCAACAUAUAUCCAAAUUAUGAGGUUCACUCUCCUGACUCUGGAGUGAGACUAAUGUCCUGGAAAGGAAAUGUCUCUACCAAUGGCAGUUGGUCAUCUAAUGGGAAUUUCCAGCAUUUAAGGUUAGCAUGAGAUGCAAGAAGAACAGUAUAUGGCUUGGUUAUAGGAUGUCUCACUCUAAGCUUUGAAGGGUUGGUCAAGGAAAAAUUAUCCAAAGAAAGCAUUCACAGACAUCCAAAAAGUUGAUUAAUACAUAUUUAAGGUCUUGUAGGCCAAGAAGCAAAGUUUGUGUUUUAGCAACUCUACGUUCUUGCUACUGUUUAAAAGUAGAGCUACGUAAAUAAAUGGCCUACUUGACUUCAGACUAAACUUUAUUUAUGGAAAUUGAAAUAUCAUUUUCAUAACACUUCUACACUCAAAAAUAUUUUCUUUAUUUCUCCAACCACUUAAAUACAUGACUACUAUUUUUAGCUUUGGGGUAUACUAAAACACCACUGAUCAUGGUAUGCAAAUUUUUAUAUUCUCUAACUGACGUGAGCAUAAAGAUC